This 471-nucleotide long non-coding RNA is filed under the name Bos grunniens (domestic yak). RNAcentral's name for it is "lncRNA (ENSBGRG00000002221.1)". Lineage: Eukaryota; Metazoa; Chordata; Mammalia; Artiodactyla; Bovidae. The record is from RNAcentral.
AAAGGUUCCUGCCCAGGACUGCCUGCAGGGGGGACUGCUGCAAAUUAUUGGAGGAGCCAGAAAGACUUCGCAGCUCCUGGACGGAGGAAGCAUUGAUAGAGGGAGUCUCGGAGCUCAAAGGAAACUACCCCAAGCCUUAGUCCUGGACCAGUCGUUGACUGAGUAACUUUAGUUUCCACUAUCUCCUGUUUUCUACAACUGCCAUUGAAUUGUUAACAGCGCACUGUUACAACAGGAGUAGCAAUGAUUUUUUUUUUAAAGCAGCGAGCCGGGGACUUCCAGCUUUGCAGCUUCUGAGAGCGGCCGGAGGCUGGGGAGCCCUGGCGACGGCGGCGAGGGCGCCCGUGGAUUAGGGUGUGGAUUGCAGGACAGACCUUUGUUUGGUCACAUUCUCGACGGGGGUGCGGGGGAGGGUCGUUCUCCUUCGAGAUCGCGCUAGAUUUUUAUAGACUCGCCUUAAAAGAACUCGCC